AUAUAUUUUCUUCUUAAAUACUUUUAUAACAUGAAUAAAAAUGCCAGUUUUAAAUAAUGCAAAGCAGACCAAAUAACAUUUAUGAAUAAUAAAAAUAAAUUUUGAUUUCAGAAAUUAUAUAAAAUCAGACUAACUUACACUAAAAAAGACAUGGCUAUUUCCCCCGAAUAACUUACAUGAUCAUUGAAGAAUCUUAAAAAAAAUAAUUCUGUUUUUAUGUCAACUGAUUUUUCCAUAUACAAACUGAUUUUUGUAAGAAAUUUAUUAGCUGUCAAUUAUCUCUUUUGGUACGACUUUUGACACAAAUAUUACAUACAGAAAUACAAUGUUAAUGAUUGUUCUGCAACCGAUAGUAGGUAGAGUAACAUAAUACUGAAGGCUAAGCCGCCAUGUAAUGGUCUUGAUUACAGAUAUAUAUAAUUCAAGUACCAGUGCUGUAAAUUCAGAAUUCUGAAUUUACAGAAAUCAAAGUUUAGUAAGAGUUAUCAAUGCAGUUUUUGUAAUAUUGUGAAUUUUUCAUACAACUUCGACAUAAUAAGACUACAUUUUUUGAUAAUUUAAUAGUUGCUGACCAACAUACUUUUUUCUUAAACAAAAAGAAAAAAAAUUUGACUGCAUUAUGGUUUAACAAGCUUUGAUUGGCAAUACUGUGCCAUUUUCUUCAACAAGUGCAUGCUGUUUACAAGACAACAGGUUAAUAUAAAAAUACAUUUUAAAAAUAAACAUUCCAAGUGAUUUUGUUUAAAGCUUGAAAUUGUAAAGACAUUUUUGUAAAUUGGAUAUAACCAAAUGCAAUCCUGUUGCAGUAAACAAGUUGAGUAAUAUAUAAGGUACAUGUAUACGAAACACAGAAAUGCUGUCUUUUAAUAAUAAACAUACAUUUUCACUUGCUAAUCAAGCUCAGACACCUAUCAUAAGCCUUUAUAAAAUUGAGACAUUAAAAUUGAAGUGUCAUGACAACUAUUACUGUCUGAACUUUAAAAAGGCAAUAGUAAAAGGGAAGUGUGGACUGAUUUGAAAAAAAAAUAAGUACUGAAUUAUGAGUCAAAUGAAGUUAUGUUCCAAUUGCAGAAUCAAGAAACAUAAAAUGG
This 1091-nucleotide long non-coding RNA is filed under the name Mytilus galloprovincialis (Mediterranean mussel). The record is from RNAcentral. Lineage: Eukaryota; Metazoa; Mollusca; Bivalvia; Mytilida; Mytilidae.